RNAcentral lists this transfer RNA (541 nucleotides) under uncultured Prochlorococcus sp. RNAcentral describes it as "partial 16S-23S ribosomal RNA intergenic spacer". The stretch from base 212 to 284 matches the Rfam family "tRNA". The record is from RNAcentral. Lineage: Bacteria; Bacillati; Cyanobacteriota; Cyanophyceae; Synechococcales; Prochlorococcaceae.
CAGGGAGACAACAAAAUGUUUAAUAUUAUUAUUUUGUCACCUUAGGUCGAUCGGUAUCUCACGUUUUUAAUUUAUUAAGAAUUUCAUUUCCUAAGUUUUUCUAGGUCACACCCAUUAUUUUUCCUGGGCCAUUAGCUCAGGUGGUUAGAGCGCACCCCUGAUAAGGGUGAGGUCCCUGGUUCAAGUCCAGGAUGGCCCAUAUCUCUAUGUUGGGGGUAUAGCUCAGUUGGUAGAGCGCCUGCUUUGCAAGCAGGAUGUCAGCGGUUCGAGUCCGCUUACCUCCACUGAUUACCACCUCUUCCAUAAUCUGUAGAAAGGAAAUGUAUUGAGUUGUGAUCAAAUCCUGAACGAAUCUAGCUUCCUAAUGAAAUCAUUAAGAUGCUGGACUCAUUGAAUUAAUUUCAUUGUUUUCACAGAACCUUGACAACUGCAUAGAUUAUUUUUUAAAGACAAUAAGCAUCUUUAAUGAUGCAGAUUUAUUAUUUGUGCGAAUGCAUUAAUAACAAUUCUAUUAAGCUGAUGCUUCAAUUUUGAAGUUAUC